This 274-nucleotide ribosomal RNA is filed under the name uncultured bacterium. Its description in RNAcentral is "partial 16S ribosomal RNA". It matches the Rfam family "Bacterial small subunit ribosomal RNA", at positions 523 to 796 of the family's 1533-position model. The record is from RNAcentral.
AUACGGAGGGUGCAAGCGUUAUUCGGAAUCACUGGGCGUAAAGGACGCGUAGGCGGGUUGGCAAGUCAGAUGUGAAAUCCUACAGCUUAACUGUAGAACUGCAUUUGAAACUGCUAACCUAGAGUAUGGGAGGGGGAGAUGGAAUUAGUGGUGUAGGGGUAAAAUCCGUAGAUAUCACUAGGAAUACCGAAAGCGAAGGCGAUCUCCUGGAACAUAACUGACGCUCAGGCGUGAAAGCGUGGGGAGCAAACAGGAUUAGAAACCCUAGUAGUCC